RNAcentral lists this non-coding RNA (241 nucleotides) under Paramoeba aestuarina. Lineage: Eukaryota; Discosea; Flabellinia; Dactylopodida; Paramoebidae. The record is from RNAcentral.
UUUCUUUUUCUUCUUCACUCUUUCCUUUUUUGUUUUUGCCCCCCUUUUACCCCCCUUUAUCUUUCCGACCUCCCUUGGUGUUUUUCUCUUUCUCUCUCUGUUGCUAUGAGGGGGUUGAGCUUGUGUUUGUUGGUUGUUGUUGUUGCUGUUGUUGUUGAAGGACAACUUCAUCAACAAAAUGACUUUCAACGAGAUGCUUUGAAAGCCUUGUUCAGAAGCGCUGAUGGAAUGAACUGGAAGA